AGUGGUCCGAAGACAGUGGGUU
RNAcentral lists this microRNA (22 nucleotides) under Panagrellus redivivus. RNAcentral's name for it is "prd-miR-5960-5p". The record is from miRBase by way of RNAcentral. Lineage: Eukaryota; Metazoa; Nematoda; Chromadorea; Rhabditida; Panagrolaimidae.